Molecule: ribosomal RNA, 163 nt
Filed under: Perezia multiflora
Lineage: Eukaryota; Viridiplantae; Streptophyta; Magnoliopsida; Asterales; Asteraceae
Description: 5.8S ribosomal RNA
Rfam family: 5.8S ribosomal RNA
About the family: 5.8S ribosomal RNA (5.8S rRNA) is a component of the large subunit of the eukaryotic ribosome.
Source: RNAcentral
CAAACGACUCUCGGCAACGGAUAUCUCGGCUCWCGCAUCGAUGAAGAACGUAGCAAAAUGCGAUACUUGGUGUGAAUUGCAGAAUCCCGUGAACCAUCGAGUUUUUGAACGCAAGUUGCGCCCGAAGCCAUCCGGUUGAGGGCACGUCUGCCUGGGCGUCACG